RNAcentral lists this ribosomal RNA (484 nucleotides) under uncultured bacterium. Its description in RNAcentral is "partial 16S ribosomal RNA". It matches the Rfam family "Bacterial small subunit ribosomal RNA", at positions 28 to 523 of the family's 1533-position model. The record is from RNAcentral.
GACGAACGCUGGCGGCGUGCUUAACACAUGCAAGUCGAACGAUGAAGCUAGAGCUUGCUCUGGUGUAUUAGUGGCGAACGGGUGAGUAACACGUGAGUAACCUGCCCCGAACUCUGGGAUAACUGCUGGAAACGGUAGCUAAUACUGGAUACGACCUACGAAGGCAUCUUCUGUAGGUGGAAAGAAUUUCGGUUCGGGAUGGACUCGCGGCCUAUCAGCUUGUUGGUGAGGUAAUGGCUCACCAAGGCGACGACGGGUAGCCGGCCUGAGAGGGUGACCGGCCACACUGGGACUGAGACACGGCCCAGACUCCUACGGGAGGCAGCAGUGGGGAAUAUUGCACAAUGGGCGCAAGCCUGAUGCAGCAACGCCGCGUGAGGGAUGACGGCCUUCGGGUCGUAAACCUCUUUUAGUAGGGAAGAAGCGAAAGUGACGGUACCUGCAGAAAAAGCACCGGCUAACUACGUGCCAGCCGCCGCGGUAA